Molecule: long non-coding RNA, 659 nt
Filed under: Malus domestica (apple)
Lineage: Eukaryota; Viridiplantae; Streptophyta; Magnoliopsida; Rosales; Rosaceae
Description: long non-coding RNA (MDOM_LNC021291)
Source: RNAcentral
UCUAAGUCUCUUCACCAAGGAUGUGAUGUGAAGAUGAAAUGGAUGACUUAGGGAAGAAGAGAUUGCUAGCUAUUACUUCCUUAGGUGGCCGGCCUCUUUAGAGAGAAUGAGAGAAAAUGUUUCACCUCAUUUCACCAAGAAAAACCCUACAUGAAAAUAAAGCUAUAAAGUUGAAUUUAUACUUCAUCACAUGUGAGUGGCAAACUUGUAAUUAAUCCAAGUUUGACACUUCUCACCCUAAUGGCCGGCCAUAUCAAAUUGAUUGGGCUAAUUGCCCAUUUUGUUUUAGUUGUCAUACAACUUAAACAUAAUGGGCCUUGUGGACCAAAACGUUUUUGGGCCCCGAAACCUAAAACCAACAUAUAAGCCCAAUACGAACAUUUCGUAUAAUUAAUUAACUAAUUAAUUAACCUUGACCAUUCUUCAAUUAAACCAUUUAAUUGCUUAUCCAUUUCAUAUAAUUUCUUCACCAACAUCCUUUCUCGGUGUACGAUCCAUUAGGUUCCAUUUAACGAGGUAGUGGGCGAUUGUUACUCUUAACGAUCGAUUGUGAAUUGAAACCACAUUUCAAUUCUCCCUUAAAAUUUGUGUUUGCUAAUCUUUAGGGCUUUCACAAACCAUGAGUGACACCUAGCAGCAUAUCAUGGUUACCCAAGCUA